This 1004-nucleotide long non-coding RNA is filed under the name Catharus ustulatus (Swainson's thrush). RNAcentral's name for it is "lncRNA (ENSCUSG00005010335.1)". The record is from RNAcentral. Lineage: Eukaryota; Metazoa; Chordata; Aves; Passeriformes; Turdidae.
GGUAAACCAUGGACAUUUUCCCCUUGUAUCCUCAGAAAGCUGAGGGAGAAGAAUGAUGAGAUAGAGCAGAAGCUGGAGGAGGUGUUCUCAGCAUCUGUCAGCGCUGCCAUUGGGGAGGCUGAGGCCGCCCCAGCGUCCUCGGAGCGUGUGGCCUCCAUCGUGCUCGGGGUGCUGCUCGCCGUCACCCUCGUGGCCUUCCUGGUCUAUGUCCUGCUGGAUCUGAAAAGGAAAAGAAAGUAUAAAAAACAGGAUUUGGUUGAGAAAGUUGAAAUUACAGAGGGCUUUGAUAACCCAUGGGCAGCUGAUGAAAAUGGAAGUCUGAAAAGCUUAGAGAAACCAGAGUACAUGAAUAAUGGGAGAAAUGAGAUGAUGUCAUUUGACAACCUGGAAGGCACCAAAGGUGCUGAAAAAAAUGAAAUUCAGGCCUCUGAAAAAGACAAAUACCUGGAGACAGUGCUAAUGGAUUACAAAAGUGAGAAAAUUGGUGCACCUGAAAAAGCUGCUGAAAGUAGAAACGUGGAGGUCCAGCCCACUGUGGGAUUCACAACAAAACAGGUAAUGAGCUUUUUGACUGCAAAGCACAGAAUGAAAGGUUUUUUAUUAUUAUUCAUCAAAUAACUGAAGGAAUUAUCACAAAAGCAAAUCUGAUGGAAUUUAAAAAAAAAAAAAAAAUCAUGUGAAGUAAUGCCUGGAAGUGUUCAAGGCCAGGCUGGACAGGGCUAGGACCAACCUGGCCUAGUGCAAGGUGUCCCUGCCCAUGGCAGGGGGUUGGGGCUGGACAAUCUCUUAAGGUCCCUUCCACCCCAAACCAUUCUAUGAUUCUAUAAAAACAAUCUUAGAGGAAGGGCUUUGUCCCUGCCUGGAAGAAGGAGCAGGACUUUAAUCCAGAAGUGAUGACUCUCUUCUGUCUUAAUGGAAUGGGAACAGUAAAGGGCUCACAAUUUUAUGAUUUCUACUGUUUAUAGUAACUCCACACUUAACCAUUUGUAGCUCUCUGCCUCACC